RNAcentral lists this transfer RNA (70 nucleotides) under uncultured Armatimonadota bacterium. RNAcentral's name for it is "uncultured Armatimonadetes bacterium tRNA-Undet-???". It matches the Rfam family "tRNA". From Rfam's summary of the family: Transfer RNA (tRNA) molecules are approximately 80 nucleotides in length. Their secondary structure includes four short double-helical elements and three loops (D, anti-codon, and T loops). Further hydrogen bonds mediate the characteristic L-shaped molecular structure. tRNAs have two regions of fundamental functional importance: the anti-codon, which is responsible for specific mRNA codon recognition, and the 3' end, to which the tRNAs corresponding amino acid is attached (by aminoacyl-tRNA synthetases). tRNAs cope with the degeneracy of the genetic code in two manners: having more than one tRNA (with a specific anti-codon) for a particular amino acid; and 'wobble' base-pairing, i.e. permitting non-standard base-pairing at the 3rd anti-codon position. The record is from RNAcentral. RNAcentral also lists the same sequence under 1 other name. Lineage: Bacteria; Bacillati; Armatimonadota.
GGGGACAUAGUUCAACGGAAGAACGCUCGGAGCCUACUGAGAAACGCGGGUUCGACUCCCGCCGUCCCCG